RNAcentral lists this small nuclear RNA (22 nucleotides) under Arabidopsis thaliana (thale cress). RNAcentral's name for it is "snRNA_16412". Lineage: Eukaryota; Viridiplantae; Streptophyta; Magnoliopsida; Brassicales; Brassicaceae. The record is from RNAcentral.
GAUUCAGCCCUUUGUCGCUAAG